UCCUUGUUAGUAUAUCGGUUCAGUACACGCGCUUGUCAUUCGUGCAUAGUGUAGCGAGCCGUUCCCUUACUACGCGCGAGAGCUGGGUUCGACUCCCAGACAGGGAG
Non-coding RNA from Lyophyllum atratum, 107 nucleotides. The record is from the annotation of a GenBank genome assembly. Lineage: Eukaryota; Fungi; Basidiomycota; Agaricomycetes; Agaricales; Lyophyllaceae.